AGAGUUUUGAUCCUGGCUCAGGAUGAACGCUGGCGGCGUGCCUAAUACAUGCAAGUCGAGCGAACAGAUAAGAGCUUGCUCCUUUGAAGUUAGCGGCGGACGGGUGAGUAACACUGGGUAACCUACCUAUAAGACUGGGAUAACUUCGGGAAACCGGAGCUAAUACCGGAUAACAUUUAGAACCGCAUGGUUCUAAAGUGAAAGAUGGUUUUGCUAUCACUUAUAGAUGGACCCGCGCCGUAUUAGCUAGUUGGUAAGGUAACGGCUUACCAAGGCGACGAUACGUAGCCGACCUGAGAGGGUGGACGGCCACAUUGGGACUGAGACACGGCCCAAACUCCUACGGGAGGCAGCAGUGGGGAAUAUUGCACAAUGGGGGAAACCCUGAUGCAGCGACGCCGCGUGAGUGAGGAAGUAUUUCGGUAUGUAAAGCUCUAUCAGCAGGGAAGAAAAUGACGGUACCUGACUAAGAAGCCCCGGCUAACUACGUG
RNAcentral lists this ribosomal RNA (491 nucleotides) under uncultured Lachnospiraceae bacterium. Its description in RNAcentral is "bacterial SSU rRNA". It matches the Rfam family "Bacterial small subunit ribosomal RNA", at positions 8 to 507 of the family's 1533-position model. The record is from RNAcentral. Lineage: Bacteria; Bacillati; Bacillota; Clostridia; Lachnospirales; Lachnospiraceae.